Molecule: ribosomal RNA, 440 nt
Filed under: uncultured bacterium
Lineage: Bacteria
Description: partial 16S ribosomal RNA
Rfam family: Bacterial small subunit ribosomal RNA
Source: RNAcentral
CCUACGGGUGGCAGCAGUGGGGGAUAUUGCACAAUGGGGGAAACCCUGAUGCAGCGACGCCGCGUGUGGGAAGACGGUCCUCUGGAUUGUAAACCACUGUCCCCAGGGACGAAGAUGACGGUACCUGGGGAGGAAGCGCCGGCUAACUACGUGCCAGCAGCCGCGGUAAUACGGAGGGAGCAAGCGUUGUCCGGAAUUACUGGGUGUAAAGGGAGCGUAGGCGGGAUGGCAAGGUGGGUGUGAAAUCUACUGGCUCAACUGGUAGUCGCACUCAAAACUGCUAUUCUUGAGUGAAGUAGAGGCCGGCGGACUUCCUCGUGUAGCGGUGAACUGCGUCGAUCUUCGGCGGAACCCCAGUGGCGACGGCGGCCUGCUGGGCUUUUACUGACGCUGCGGCUCGAUAGUGUGGGGAGCAAACCGGAUUAGCUACCCCUGUAGUC